GCAACACAGAGCGUUCCCCAGCAGCUCCUGUCUGCAGGGGACAAGAUGACUGCCGCGUUACCCCAACGUACCAGCAAACGGCUACCUGGACAACAUUUCUGGAAGAGCAGCGUGUGCUACGCACUUCUCUGAACAGAUCUGCAGAUUGGAAGUCGAUGGGAGACAGGCUUUGGCACGAACUCAUCCCCUGCGCUUCCAGUCUGUACAGCUCUGCACUCUCAGUAUCAUCUUCCUUGGGCCACCCCAGACAGAAUAUGAAUCCUCUUAUUUAACUGGUCUAAAAUGAUGCCCCAUGGAAGAGACAGCAUGCUACAGAUGUCUGCUGAUUUUCCCUUGGGAUCCUUGUGUUCCUGGAAGAUAUAAAUUUAAUGGUGGAGUUGAUAAUGCCCAGCUGGAAUUUAGACCACAAGCUAGAGAACAAGAGUUUUGUGUCAUCUGGUAGCAGCUGGAAAUGCACUCCUUCCUUCUCUACAUACCAUGUGGGAAAGGUGAGAUCUGUGGCUACUUCCCACAUAGGAAAAAGAAGGUCCAUAACUUUGCUCUGAGCUCCGAAAGACUCAGACUCACUGGACUUGGACUCCUAGAUAUUCCAAAAUAUACACCCAGGCAAGGAGAAUCCCACACCAAGUCGGAGGUAACAGGGGACAAUGAGAUGUGCUGAGAAAAAAGGAGCAAACAACACCUAGGGCCAUAUUAUCAAGGACUGUGACACAGAUUAGCAAAUAUCAGAUUGAACAGCUGGAAGAGACUGUAAUUUCUGAAAAUCUUCUGCAGUGGAAAGUCUGGCCAGGACAGAGCCUAGGAGCAGAUAUUUUCUACAUUUGAAAGAUUUCUUACAGCUGGUUAACUGCCCAAAGACUGGAAGAGGCAACAAGUACACUGAAUUACUGGGGAGUUACCCUGUUCUGAGCUGGCCCUUCAAACACUCCUCCAUGCACAGAAGGGCAGAUGUCCCUAACUCUGGACAUACAAGCGACUGGUGAAUACAGCAACUAUCCUAAAAGUCUUGAGAUUUGUAGAGCCAUGAGCAAGCUUAAAGGAAGAACACUCAGGCAGUACCGCGCUGUCCUCCAACAACCUUACAUAACUGGUGACUGUUUGACACAUAGAAGUAGGCAUCUGUCACAUCAAGAGCUGUUCACCCACCUCUUUCACAUGAGGGACAGAUCAUUGUCCCUAGACACAAAGUCCUGCCCUUGACUGUCUAUAUUUCUAUUGAAGCUGAUGAUGCUCAGACUAUUGUUCUUCCAAAGGAUCAGGAAAGAGCACGAAUAAAACCACCUUCAAAAGCAUUCUUUAACUUGUGCUGACGAGAACAGAUCCGAGGCCAGAGGAGAAUUCAGUUAUUGGCAAGUGAGGUGUCCACCUAUAGAGAAUGAAGGAAAAUAACACCAUUGAGCCAGACUGCUUAUAAAAACUUCUUUAAGGGAAAAUCCACAGCCCAGCCUGCACAGAGCCAUGCCAUGAAUUCAGAGGGGUCUGUGAAAGAGGAGGAAGUCAUUUGGGCAAGGGAUUUCAGGGACUCAGGGAUUUUCACUUGGCUGUGGAACCCUUCCUCUCUCAGUCAGCACUCCAAAGCCAAAAGUCAUUAUGCCUGAUAGCUCCUACCUUCCAGGAAAUGAGCUUGUGAGUUUUAUUCUAUUUGUUAAUAGGCGGGUGUCCACUCCACCAAAAUCAACAGUAACAGAAAUACUUGCAGAUUCUUGCUGGCAGUCUCAGAGAAGGUAAGAAUAAAAGCUCGAGCACUGAAUUUCCCUUGCAUUCACACACUGAUUCUGUCUAAACUCUCCUUGCUCUGUGGAGUGAGAAUUUCUGUUCCUCAAUACCUUAUCAACACAAUAUUAAUUUUUAAACAGUAAUUUUCACUAACGAUUGAAUUAACUAGGGACUUGUAAAUGCAGAGGAGCUAAUUCAGAUUAAGGCAGAGGGUGAAUAUAGAGUUGAGCAAACCAUCCCUUAUUUAACCCUUGCCUAGAUGUUCUUAUUUUCCACCAAGUGUGUCCAAUUCCAAAACAGCUUGAUCUGCUUUUAAGUGACUUCUGCUGAUUUGGAACAGGACACACUCAUCCCAGAAUAAAGAUAUUCACAGAGAGGAAAUCAGGCAGAUAUAAUUGCACUGGAGUAAAUUUUAGGCAGAUAAGCCCUCAGGUUCUACCUACAUUAGAGCUUUUUGUGGUGGUACAGCUACUUGUUCUUUGACACUUGGGAAAAAAGUACAGACACUGCUUUAUCUCAGUGCAGUAUAUUUACAUAGUGUAGCUACAUCAGUGCAAAAUUUCCUGGCACAGACAAGCUGCAUAUUGCCCAAGCCAGCUGGCACAAAGACAGUGUGUAUUUCCUCAGGGUGGUAUUACAGCUCUACAAGCUAUUCAGGAAAAUAGGCCAGACAAUCAAACCUCCUUUUCCAGGUGUGUUCAUAAUGCCUCCUCUCACAAGGAAUGCUAAAAAAUGACAAAAAGAAAUGAAAUCUUGAAAAGAUAAUCUUCACGUAGCUUUCAGAGCAAAUGCCAACUGCAGCCUGCAGGGAAAAUGUGAAAGGAGCCACUGCUGCAGUAUAGCUGUUAAUUAGUCUAUAAGGAUUUGUGUUUAUAACAAGAAUGAAAACUAUCUAAUGCAAGAGAAGUAACACCGGCUGAACAGUUUUCAAUUUUAUAGCAAUAUUCAGCAUAUCUGCUCUAACAUAAAAGUGACACUGGAACUGCUAGGGCAGAAGACGCUCGGUUUUACUUAAGGCAGUUUACUCAAAGAACCUUUAACACUGUCCUGAAAUAUCUCACACAUAGCACAUCCCUCACCGUUUCAAUCCGGUGUUAUUCUGUAACCAGGGAUACAUCUAGAGAUCAUAGGAGGUUCUCUGGGAAAGCAACUCAGUAUCCCUGAAAUAUAACUAAGGAAUCACAAGGGGAUUUUAUCUUAUUGAGAUUUUAUAGUAAGAUAGUACUUAGCCCUGGCACCAAUGCUCUUCACCUAAUGAACAAAAUAAAAAUUCAAAUCAGCCAGAGAAACAGCUAUGGCAAGCACUUUCAUAAAGUUCACACUGACAAAUGCUCCAUCUCCUAUUUGCUGACAUGGCACAACAGGGAAACAAGCCACCCGUUUCCUGGCAUUCGUUUAAAUUGUACCUCUGAUAUACAAUCCAUGAGGACAGUAAUGGCUUGAAUUUCACUGGAGCUACAAAUAUCUAGGCUUUUUUUAAAGUUAGGCCACGUGUGCAUGAGAAAUAGGCAUACUUAAGCCGUGCAAACAGCCCUUACAGGCAGAGCCCCCAUGACUGAACAUGAAGAUCAUCUUCACUGCCAGUCAAAAACUGGCAAAAAAUGAUUAUGAACACUCUCAACACCAAGCCAGGGUAGUAAGUAAGGAUGUGAAUAUUUAGGUUAAUGUUAGCAGUCUCCUAAACUCACAGGACAAGACCACAGUGGGAGCUGGAGGUUCUCCAAGCGACAACAGAAAAGCAGGCCACAGAUGGGAGCUACUACAGUAGUUAGAUCUCUGGAGCACUACGCAAGUCACUGAAAGUACCAUUUUGUGAUAUCUUUUAGAAAAUAAUCUUUCCUUCCUCUGCAGACAUGGCACUGUUAUUUCUCAAAGCAAUGAAUGAUUUCCACUGACACGAUACGAGGCUGCUAUACAAAUGAGAGGUUAACAACUCAUUUCGGUAUACAUGGUAUUAAAAACAUAGGAUAUAAAAUCAAUAACUGCUACACAGGACACAGGUAAGCUAUUUAACAAAGUGAAAGCAGUAAAUUAGCCUAAUGGCAAGGCUACAUGCUGCAAUAUAGAUCAAACAAGUCUUGGUCUUCCCCUUACAACUGACAGCACUAGGAUUUCUCAAGGAAAACAAGUUCAUUAUCCUGUCUUUUCUGAGGAAGGGAGGAAAACUUGGAGCAUACAGCCCAAGUAGAGAAUAAAACAGAUUUGAAAAUAAUGUCAGGAGGGAAUGACUGGCCGUUGCAUGAGGAAAUUAAUCUUGCAAAUGGACCACAGGCCAUUAAAAGCACAGGAAGAAGGGAAGCAUAAAGAGGGAUUUACAGAGAUUGAGGCAGAACUCCCAAGAACAAGGACUCCAGGACUCCAUGUCAGAAUUACUGUGCUUUUUUAGGAACCUGCAACAAUAGAAGUGCUUAAACCUGCAACUUGGAUUAGCAAUUUGACAAUUUAACCAUUCCACCAUUUUACGCAGUGCUAGGUAGUAAGUCAGAAAAAAGAGUAAGUGGUUUGGAAAAGCACUAUAGCAAAACAGUGGAAUUAUAAGUAAAACUUAAUUUCAGUUCUAAACUGGUUUAGAGUUGAUAAAUUAUUAAUAUUUGGUUCUUGGAUGUUGUACUUUAAUGUACGUAUGAGAUCUACAGAUACACUAUGGUACUUGUACGAAACUCCUCAGUAUGUCACUAGGGGAUCUCUCCAAACUGGAGAUCCUGUACCCAAGCCAAGAGUCUUUCUGUUUUAGCAACCACUGGAAUUCAGGUCAAAAACAUUAUUGUAGGGAUACUGAAAUUUCUACUGAAAUGACAAAAAGUGACAAACUGUAUUACUUCCAAGUAAUUACUACAGCUUUCAUUAUCAAGGAAACCUACAGUUAUGUUUACACUGAGAUUUGCAUUUUAAUUUCUUAUUUUAACAAGCUUGUAGCUACAUGUUAAAAUCUCAGAUACUGAUUACUUGAGAUCUUAUUAAAAAAAACCCCAAAAUUUAUUGUACUUUUCAGUCGAAACAAUGAAAUAUAUUAUGUCUGCUGUGAAGAAUACCAUGUAUGAAUAAUACAACUAGCUGUAGUUCACAAGUCAGUUCUUUCAGAUAACUAACUUUUACUGACAAUUGAACUCCAAUUAAUUUGAAGAAUAUUGCAACCUAGCUAUUGAGAAGCUAGAUUUACACACAGGUGGUACAAAUAUGUUUUUUAAAAUAUGAGUUUGCUGUUCCAAAAUGUGUAACUAUCUAAGCAUUUAUGUUAAGGAGAAUGUUAAAGCUUCAAAGUUACAAGCACAAAACUCAGAAAAUGCCAUAAUUAACACUAUCUGCACCCUUUACAGGUAUGCCUACAUUAAAAUAUAGUCUUUACUUAUUUGAAAUUGUAGAAUCUUUUCGAACAUGCCCCUAUCUCAUUUACUGCACUUACUGUUACUGAAAGGGCAAAACUGGAAUCUGUGCAUGCAGCAUUAUUAAGUAAUGAUACUCCCAGUACUUCAGAAGGCAAACAAGGAGUUAAUGUUUUGUCAAUCAAACAAAUGCAACCGAUGGUCAUGACCUGUGUGAAAUGUCUUCACC
Molecule: long non-coding RNA, 5268 nt
Organism: Dromaius novaehollandiae (emu)
Lineage: Eukaryota; Metazoa; Chordata; Aves; Casuariiformes; Dromaiidae
Exons: 4
Source: RefSeq, a predicted model, not a curated record